Molecule: long non-coding RNA, 553 nt
Filed under: Malus domestica (apple)
Lineage: Eukaryota; Viridiplantae; Streptophyta; Magnoliopsida; Rosales; Rosaceae
Description: long non-coding RNA (MDOM_LNC013613)
Source: RNAcentral
CCCUGGAAGUAACUUCAGCCUUGACCUCCUCCUCAUCCUCUUCAUUUUUGUGUUUCUUCUUUUUGUCCUCCUUGUCUUUCUUCUUCUUUCCUUCUUUUUUGUCAUCUUUUUGCUCAUCGCUCUUCUUCUCUUUUUCAUCAUCACCGUAUUUGUGUUUCUUCUUUUUAUCAUCCUUGUCUUUCUUCUUCUCCCCUUCUUUUUUAUUGCCGUCACCUUUUACUUCAUCACUCUUCUCCUUUUCGCCAUCACCACCCUUGUGUUUCUUCUUUUUAUCGUCUUUCUUCUUCUCCCCUUCUUUUUUAUCAUCGUCACCUUUUACCUCAUCACUCUUCUUCUCUGUUUCAUCAUCACCGCCCUUGUGUUUCUUCUUUUUAUCGUCCUUUCCUUCAUCCUUACGCGUCUCCUCUGCUUCACCCUUUGAUUCCUUUACAUUAUCUUCAAUGUCAAUCUCCCUGGAAGUAACUUCAGCCUUGACCUCCUCCUCAUCCUCUUCAUUUUUGUGUUUCUUCUUUUUGUCCUCCUUGUCUUUCUUCUUCUUUCCUUCUUUUUUGUC